CACGUGGGUAAUCUGCCCUGCACAUCGGGAUAAGCCUGGGAAACUGGGUCUAAUACCGGAUAUGACUACGGGACGCAUGUCCUGUGGUGGAAAGCUUUUGCGGUGUGGGAUGGGCCCGCGGCCUAUCAGCUUGUUGGUGGGGUGAUGGCCUACCAAGGCGACGACGGGUAGCCGGCCUGAGAGGGUGUCCGGCCACACUGGGACUGAGAUACGGCCCAGACUCCUACGGGAGGCAGCAGUGGGAAAUAUUGCACAAUGGGCGCAAGCCUGAUGCAGCGACGCCGCGUGGGGGAUGACGGC
This 300-nucleotide ribosomal RNA is filed under the name uncultured Mycobacterium sp. RNAcentral describes it as "bacterial SSU rRNA". It matches the Rfam family "Bacterial small subunit ribosomal RNA", at positions 114 to 415 of the family's 1533-position model. The record is from RNAcentral. Lineage: Bacteria; Bacillati; Actinomycetota; Actinomycetes; Mycobacteriales; Mycobacteriaceae.